CUCUGCCCCUGGUAGUUGCUCAUGCAGGCCCUGCCCACCUCUCCACUUUUUCCCUGGAGGCACUAGUGCACUGAGAUCCUGCCCUGCAGCUGUUCCCUAGGCCAGAAAGGAUAUAAAGGUGUUGUUAACAAAGUAUCCCAAAUGGAAUGGCUGCAAACCACAGCAGUGAGUUUUCUCAGUUUGGUAGGCUGGAGACACCUGCCUUCUCACCUCCCCCAAGGAACAGAUGUCUGGAGUCUCCAGGAUGACAGUACAUGGGUUGCCUUUCCAGCCACACCUCUUGCUGAGCGUGGACCCACCAACACCCAGCUCUCCCCUUCCCCAUGUCUCCCCAUGCCUGCAGGAAGUAGCCAGAUUUGAAUCAACGCCCCUUUUUUUCAAAGAGAUCCUAAAUGUUGGUCAUAAAUAUCACCUCCGCUACCUGUCACCCCUUAUACAGUCUGGAAUGUAAUUUCCUGCCUCUGGCCUCUCUUUUGGAGGCCCCGCCUCUAUGCCCCUUGCCCCUCCCCAGAGGAGGUCAGGACCACUCCCCCAGUCUACUGGAAAGUCAACACUUGGUCCGUCGUGUCCCCCCCACCCCACCCCACCCCCGUGGUCGCAUUGAUGACUUCCUGGAGUCCUAUUAAA
Long non-coding RNA from Alexandromys fortis (reed vole), 627 nucleotides. RefSeq lists it as uncharacterized. NCBI's taxonomy places the organism in Eukaryota, Metazoa, Chordata, Mammalia, Rodentia, Cricetidae. The record is from RefSeq and is a predicted model, not a curated record. The transcript has 3 exons.